AGGCAAGAUGUUGGCAUAGCUGGUUUAUAAAGCACAGCUGUUCCAAUGUCUUGUUCUACU
RNAcentral lists this microRNA precursor (60 nucleotides) under Xenoturbella bocki. Its description in RNAcentral is "Xbo-Mir-31_pre stem-loop". Lineage: Eukaryota; Metazoa; Xenacoelomorpha; Xenoturbellidae. The record is from RNAcentral.